This 1021-nucleotide long non-coding RNA is filed under the name Chloebia gouldiae (Gouldian finch). Its description in RNAcentral is "Erythrura gouldiae (Gouldian finch) lncRNA (ENSEGOG00005006685.1)". Lineage: Eukaryota; Metazoa; Chordata; Aves; Passeriformes; Passeridae. The record is from RNAcentral.
UUGUUUCGUUUUGUUUUUUUUCUUUUUUUUUUUUUUUUUUUUAAUAGAUUUGAGGAACCAUUCUAUUUAUGUGAUGGUUUGGUGGUUUCUCAUUUGUAGUCUCUUGUCUGUCACUUAAACUGGAAAAUGUAGAGAGGAGGAAUAGUCUCCUUUUUAAGUUUCCUCCUCGGACUUUCUUCUUUAUUUACAGUUCCUAUUAUGCUCUGCAAAGGUCAUAAUCAAAAAUAGCAGAGAAAUGCGUGCAAAUAGUCGAGAGGGCAUGGAUUAAAACCCCUUCCAUACCGCCAAAGGCCAGGUCAGACGAGAAUAUGGUGGGGCUGUUUAAGGAGACAUUUAAGGGAGUGGUUCAAAUCUGCGCUUUGUGGUAUCUGGGGUCCUUUCUGAUAGCCAAGAAACUUGUCUAUCACAAAAAAAAGUGAAGGCAUUUCGAAGUUAUCGGCUAUUUUCAUAGCCGGGUUCAACUUCGUAAUACUGUUUGUAAGUCUGGGCUGCAGCGUUUUGACCAGCUGCUUGUAUGCUGCUCUCACCUUCCCAAAAGUACGCCGCUGGAGCAGGACGAGCUUAGAGUUUCACCCUGUCCUCUGGAGGCUUGGCUGGGACCUUUCGAGUGAGUCGCGCUCGGCGCACGGGGAAGCCGGUGCGGGUUUUGCGGGAGGUGCCGCUGCGCGAAAAGGAGCCGGUGGCUCCCGGUCGGGGCUGCGCGGCUGUCCGCGCCCACGUAAAGAUGAGCGUGAGCACUCGAUGCGUGUCCGAGAGCGACCAGAGCCGGCCGCAGAGCCUCUUCACACCACCCCCCUAAGCCGGCGUGUUCAUGCCCGUGGAGCGGGGCUGCGCUGCCUUCAGCCCCCAUUUGCUGACCCUUCGGGCUUGCGCUCCAAGCUUCGAGGUGUAUUUUUAGAUGGCGCUGGCGGUUUUGCUCUGCGACCCCGAGGAAAACCCCGUCGCUUUGUCUCGCCGGCCUUCCGCACCUUCCGCGCCGGGGCCGGGGAGGAGGGCGGCGGGCGGGCCGGCUGUGUCGCCG